CUGACUCAGUGGUCUGACUCCUGAAAGAAAGGAGCUAAGCGGGAUGGUUUGACUCUUGUACCAUCUGCCUUCCCAGAAACACAGUGAGCCUCCAUCUCUGCCCUGGGCAGGGUCCCUACUCAGAAGGAAUCUGGACCUGCCCCCACACAGCUCCCUUAGGUAUUCUCGGGGUGGUCCUGGAGGGAUCAGAUAACUCACCUGAGGUCGGAGACUGGAGACCUCUACACUGUCACCUCCUCUCCCCAUUAGUAUUCCUGCCCUGCAGACCCAGUGGAAUUCUCCUGGAAGACAGGAGAAAAGGCCGGACCCUUGCUCACCCUCCACCCUGUGCCGGUGCUGCUGAUACAGAUUUCUCUAAACGGUGGAGUCCUCAACGUCCAACAGAAUCUGGCCGGACCCUGCGAGUGAGAGCCCAGAAGUAAUGCACAACUCUUGGUAUUGUCCGCUUAACUGACCGGCCUUCUUCCGUUGAGUCUGUGCCCCUCCCCGAAGCCACACGUCGCUCCUCCGGGAUCAAGCGGGGCUCAAACUCAACACUUCCUCCAUGGCUCUGCAGCCCGGAAGAGGAAAGGCCGGACCGCUCUUCCUCCUAGCCUAGGGUCCCGCAUCCCACAUCCUCACACAGGUUGUCAGAGGCGGGCGCCCUGGGAGGGGAGGCCCUGGGAGGGGAGGCCCCGCCCCUCAUCCCUGUCCCCCAGCACGACGGCC
RNAcentral lists this long non-coding RNA (708 nucleotides) under Fukomys damarensis (Damara mole-rat). Its description in RNAcentral is "lncRNA (ENSFDAG00000028022.1)". Lineage: Eukaryota; Metazoa; Chordata; Mammalia; Rodentia; Bathyergidae. The record is from RNAcentral.